GUCUACGGCCAUACCACCCUGAACGCGCCGAUCUCGUCUGAUCUCGGAAGCUAAGCAGGGUCGGCCGGUUAGUACUUGGAUGGGAGACCGCCUGGGAAUACCGGGUGCUGUAGGCU
Molecule: ribosomal RNA, 116 nt
Organism: Capra hircus (goat)
Lineage: Eukaryota; Metazoa; Chordata; Mammalia; Artiodactyla; Bovidae
Source: Ensembl